Molecule: ribosomal RNA, 220 nt
Filed under: Lachnospiraceae bacterium NE2001
Lineage: Bacteria; Bacillati; Bacillota; Clostridia; Lachnospirales; Lachnospiraceae
Description: 23S rRNA. Bacterial LSU
Rfam family: Bacterial large subunit ribosomal RNA
Source: RNAcentral
CCGGGAUGGACGGACCGCUGGUGUACCAGUUGUAUUACCAAGUGCAUAGCUGGGUAGCCAAGUCUGGAAAGGAUAAACGCUGAAGGCAUCUAAGCGUGAAGCCAACCUCAAGAUGAGAUAUCUCUUAAGACCCCUCGAAGACUACGAGGUUGAUAGGCUCUGGGUGUAAGCAUGGCAACAUGUUCAGCUGAGGAGUACUAAUAGGUCGUGAGCUUUUCCU